This 398-nucleotide ribosomal RNA is filed under the name uncultured bacterium. RNAcentral's name for it is "bacterial SSU rRNA". It matches the Rfam family "Bacterial small subunit ribosomal RNA", at positions 355 to 768 of the family's 1533-position model. The record is from RNAcentral.
UGGGGAAUAUUGGGCAAUGGGGGCAACCCUGACCCAGCGACGCCGCGUGAGGGAAGAAGGCCUUAGGGUCGUAAACCUCUGUUGUGUGGGAAGAAGGAAGUGACGGUACCACACGAGGAAGUCCCGGCUAACUACGUGCCAGCAGCCGCGGUAAUACGUAGGGGACGAGCGUUGUCCGGAAUUACUGGGCGUAAAGGGCGCGUAGGCGGUCAUUUAAGUCAGCUGUGAAAUGGUCCGGCUCAACCGGAUCAUGCGGUUGAAACUGGAUGACUGGAGUGCUGGAGAGGCAAGUGGAAUUCCCAGUGUAGCGGUGAAAUGCGUAGAUAUUGGGAAGAACACCGGUGGCGAAGGCGACUUGCUGGCCAGCAACUGACGCUGAGGCGCGAAAGCCAGGGGAG